Molecule: transfer RNA, 103 nt
Filed under: Lentinula raphanica
Lineage: Eukaryota; Fungi; Basidiomycota; Agaricomycetes; Agaricales; Omphalotaceae
Description: tRNA-Asp
Source: RNAcentral
UCCCUGGUAGUAUAUCGGUUUAGUACACGCGCCUGUCAUCACCUGAAUGGCUUGUUGACUUGAAUAUGCGCGCGAAAGCUGGGUUCGACUCCCAGCCAGGGAG